GCUCGGGGACUUCUCGGAAGCUUUGGAAAUUGCCAGCCCUGCUCGGCGACCUCUCAGUAACUUUGGAAAUUUCCAGCCCUGCUCGGGUACUUCUCAGAAGCUUCGGAAAUUGCCAGCCCUGCUCGGCGACCUCUCGGUAGCUUUGGAAAUUUCCAGCCCUGCUCAGAGCUAUCUUCAAGAAAUUAAAAAAAAUAAUAAUUGGUAUACUCAAAAAACCGGUGUUGUUGGAAUCUUGUAUUUGUGCAGGAGGCUUAUUGAGGGAUUUAUUAUGUUUCAGAUUUUGGAACUUCAAGAUUUUUUUACUA
RNAcentral lists this long non-coding RNA (305 nucleotides) under Salvia miltiorrhiza (redroot sage). RNAcentral describes it as "long non-coding RNA (SMIL_LNC012401)". The record is from RNAcentral. Lineage: Eukaryota; Viridiplantae; Streptophyta; Magnoliopsida; Lamiales; Lamiaceae.